This 424-nucleotide ribosomal RNA is filed under the name uncultured prokaryote. RNAcentral's name for it is "bacterial SSU rRNA". It matches the Rfam family "Bacterial small subunit ribosomal RNA", at positions 355 to 796 of the family's 1533-position model. The record is from RNAcentral.
UGGGGAAUCUUGGACAAUGGGCGCAAGCCUGAUCCAGCAAUGCCGCGUGUGUGAAGAAGGCCUGCGGGUUGUAAAGCACUUUCAGUGGGGAAGAUGAUGACGGUACCCACAGAAGAAGCACCGGCUAACUCCGUGCCAGCAGCCGCGGUAAUACGGAGGGUGCGAGCGUUGCUCGGAAUGACUGGGCGUAAAGCGCGCGCAGGUGGCCCGUUAAGUUGGCUGUGAAAUCCCCUGGCUCAACCAGGGAAGUGCAGUCGAUACUGGCGGGCUCGAGUCCCGGAGAGGGUGGUAGAAUUCCCAGUGUAGAGGUGAAAUUCGUAGAUAUUGGGAGGAAUACCGGUGGCGAAGGCGACCGCCUGGACGGGUACUGACACUGAGGCGCGAAAGCGUGGGGAGCAAACAGGAUUAGAUACCCCGGUAGUCC